This 456-nucleotide ribosomal RNA is filed under the name uncultured bacterium. Its description in RNAcentral is "partial 16S ribosomal RNA". It matches the Rfam family "Bacterial small subunit ribosomal RNA", at positions 355 to 823 of the family's 1533-position model. The record is from RNAcentral.
UGGGGAAUAUUGCACAAUGGGCGCAAGCCUGAUGCAGCAACGCCGCGUGAGGGACGACGGCCUUCGGGUUGUAAACCUCUUUUAGUAGGGAAGAAGCGAAAGUGACGGUACCUGCAGAAAAAGCACCGGCUAACUACGUGCCAGCAGCCGCGGUAAUACGUAGGGUGCGAGCGUUGUCCGGAAUUAUUGGGCGUAAAGAGCUCGUAGGCGGUCUGUCGCGUCUGCUGUGAAAACCCGAGGCUCAACCUCGGGCCUGCAGUGGGUACGGGCAGACUAGAGUGCGGUAGGGGAGAAUGGAAUUCCUGGUGUAGCGGUGGAAUGCGCAGAUAUCAGGAGGAACACCGAUGGCGAAGGCAGUUCUCUGGGCCGUAACUGACGCUGAGGAGCGAAAGCGUGGGGAGCGAACAGGAUUAGAUACCCUGGUAGUCCACGCCGUAAACGUUGGGCGCUAGAUGU